ACGGGAGGCAGCAGUAGGGAAUCUUCCACAAUGGGCGAAAGCCUGAUGGAGCAACGCCGCGUGAGUGAAGAAGGAUUUCGGUUCGUAAAACUCUGUUGUAAGGGAAGAACAAGUACAGUAGUAACUGGCUGUACCUUGACGGUACCUUAUUAGAAAGCCACGGCUAACUACGUGCCAGCAGCCGCGGUAAUACGUAGGUGGCAAGCGUUGUCCGGAAUUAUUGGGCGUAAAGCGCGCGCAGGUGGUUUCUUAAGUCUGAUGUGAAAGCCCACGGCUCAACCGUGGAGGGUCAUUGGAAACUGGGAGACUUGAGUGCAGAAGAGGAUAGUGGAAUUCCAAGUGUAGCGGUGAAAUGCGUAGAGAUUUGGAGGAACACCAGUGGCGAAGGCGACUAUCUGGUCUGUAACUGACACUGAGGCGCGAAAGCGUGGGGAGCAAACAGGAUUAGAUACCCUGGUAGUCCACGCCGUAAACGAUGAGUGCUAAGUGUUAGGGGGUUUCCGCCCCUUAGUGCUGCAGCUAACGCAUUAAGCACUCCGCCUGGAGAGUACGGUCGCAAGACUGAAACUCAAAGGAAUUGAC
Molecule: ribosomal RNA, 582 nt
Filed under: uncultured bacterium
Lineage: Bacteria
Description: bacterial SSU rRNA
Rfam family: Bacterial small subunit ribosomal RNA
Source: RNAcentral